GAUGAACGCUGGCGGCGUGCCUAAUACAUGCAAGUCGAGCGAACGGACGAGAAGCUUGCUUCUCUGAUGUUAGCGGCGGACGGGUGAGUAACACGUGGAUAACCUACCUAUAAGACUGGGAUAACUUCGGGAAACCGGAGCUAAUACCGGAUAAUAUUUUGAACCGCAUGGUUCAAAAGUGAAAGACGGUCUUGCUGUCACUUAUAGAUGGAUCCGCGCUGCAUUAGCUAGUUGGUAAGGUAACGGCUUACCAAGGCAACGAUGCAUAGCCGACCUGAGAGGGUGAUCAGCCACACUGGAACUGAGACACGGUCCAGACUCCUACGGGAGGCAGCAGUAGGGAAUCUUCCGCAAUGGGCGAAAGCCUGACGCAGCAACGCCGCGUGAGUGAUGAAGGUCUUCGGAUCGUAAAGCUCUGUUAUUAGGGAAGAACAUAUGUGUAAGUAACUGUGCACAUCUUGACGGUACCUAAUCAGAAAGCCACGGCUAACUACGUG
RNAcentral lists this ribosomal RNA (497 nucleotides) under uncultured bacterium. RNAcentral describes it as "partial 16S ribosomal RNA". It matches the Rfam family "Bacterial small subunit ribosomal RNA", at positions 28 to 507 of the family's 1533-position model. The record is from RNAcentral.